GGAAUGUCUUCUGAAUUGUCAAGAAAGAAAUGCUAUCUUCAAUGUACUUUUGUAAUUAAAUGUAUCCUUAUUGAUAAUCCAGGACAACAUUGACAUACAAAUUAACAUUUCAUCUCAACAUCCUAAUUUGGAGAAAACAAGAUUACAUAUCCCUGUGAAAAGAAGAGAUGGUACUGAAAUUGAGAGGGUCUACAGAGAUAUUUUCCAUUGGAACAGCACCUUUUAUUGGAAAACAAAG
This 238-nucleotide long non-coding RNA is filed under the name Homo sapiens (human). RNAcentral describes it as "HSALNT0087085". Lineage: Eukaryota; Metazoa; Chordata; Mammalia; Primates; Hominidae. The record is from RNAcentral.